CUGCCUCUCCUCUCUCUAUUCAGCCUUUGUGUAAACAUUUUCUUUCCUGGCCAGCUGGGGGAGGACAAACUCUGUUAUUUAAUUAAGACAGCUCUUCACGCUUCUGAGUUUGUUUAGUUUGUAUUUACUGAUACUUAACGUGCAUACAUUAUUUUCUAGUUUAAGCAUACGUCUCUCGGUUACUCUGUGCUCCAAAGUGAGAAUUCCCCACGGGAGCAGCAGUGCAUCACUUCUUGGCCACGGCUGUUGGUGAGGGGUGGACACGCAUCCCCCAGUAACUGCUGCCCACUGCAGGAGCACUGACCUCACUGCCAGCUGAGCCCCAGGCUUCCUGCCAGCAAUAAUCCUAUCUUACCUUUAAAUAUGCCAUGGUGAGGAGCGGCAAUAAGGUAAAAGGUACCAAAUACAGGAGGGCAGGCUGGGCUGCCCGGUGAAUACGAGAGGCUACUGUUGCAGUUAAUAGGCCUGUAAAAGAAAUAAGUGACUGAACAUCUUUAAACAGCACAUGGAUGUUCUGUAUCUUUUCAUCCACAGGUGUUUCCUUACCCACCAUUGUAAGACAGGCUACGGAAAAAUGUAUUUAUCUGUGCUUUGCUUUCCCUAAAUAGUUAUAAAAUAAGAAGUAGUUAUUCUAUUUUAAUAUUAGGUUGUGCUGAGCCCCUCAAUCCAGUUUUAAGCCUCAAAGACUAAGCUAAUAACACAAACCAUAACAAAAAGCAAAGGAGAGGAAACUGAGUGCACCACGCUGAAUUGUUUUAUGUGCUACUCAGUGCUGGUACCUCUUGACACUGUCAGUCUGAGGGCCCCAGCCUGAGAAACAAGGGGCUGGGGGGAAGGAUUGUUCACACCAGGAACAUUUUUCCUGGAGACGUGCCCAAGAGGAACACGGGGGAAAAGGCAGGGGUGGGUGGGUGGGAAGGGAACACAAAUGGAAAGAAACGAUCUCUCCAUUGCAUCUGCUAAAGGGCUGAGGAGAUCCAGAUACACACACGUCCUGACCUCAGAGAAAAAAAUCUGUUAGGGACAGCUACUUCAAACCACAGAUGGCAUUCCAGCUGCAACUAUUUACAGUUUUCUGUACAUACUAAAACGUUACAGGAUCGUAAGGGUUAACACUAGAAUACAAAAAUACUGCAACUAUCUACUAUCUAGAUGUACUCUUUCACAGCAUAACCUAUCUAGAAACUCCUGUGUUUUCUCUGCCUUACUCAGGUAUGAGCGAGAGCAGCUUCUGCACUCAUAAAGGAAGGUACAGAAAGUCCCCCACAGAAAGAUGCUGAUAAUCUCCUUCAUCCUCAAAAUAAAAUCCACACAAAAACUAUUGCAAAGUCGGGACGGGCUUUUCUUCCUCCAUCAUGCCAAUGAAAAUCAAGAAAGGAGAACUCAAAAACAACAUAACCAAGCAGUCUCCCGAAGCCUCUUCAUACUUUGUUUCAUCGUCUUUUAAACCUACUACAAUAAUCCCACUCUUGCUCACUAAGCAGCUCUCCAUAUUAAACCAAUUACUCACCUACAAAAUAUCCAAUAAGUGUGCAGUGAAAGUAAGAGACCUUCUGCAUACGUCCAGAGAUGUUCCCUGGUCCUGGGGCACCACAGGAAUCGCUGUUGGCUUGUUUUUUGUAGUUAUCGUAGCGCAGGACGAAGCAGAGCAGAAGACCUGGCAUCACAAUAUCUCCAAUCCCCAGCAUAGAGAAGUGGCUGCCCGUGGAACUGCAGAGCAAUGGAAACUGGAUUUGCACCCAUAAACAAGAUAAUCAUCCCCUAAUCCCUGCUAUUUCAGUACUCCAGCAUCAAAAGAAGAAUAGAAUAAUGAUAAGCCAACGUACUGCAUGGCUUCUGAAGCACUCAUAGGCUUAUGUGUAGCAGGCUCAAAAUCCCAAACAUCAAGGAACUCCUGCAGUUGAGAGAUGUGGAAUAAUCUCCCUCCAACACAGCACUUCACCCAAUAUUGUGGUACCUGUUGGUCAGUGUCUGGACAACGAGCACCAGGAAGAGGAUGGUACAAAGGCACCCAGUAUAAGAAAGCUUGAAAGCAGAGAAGAGGUAAGCACAGUGCUCAGCCUGGGUGAUGCAACACUUAUUUCUAAUAGGCCCUCACACUACAGCUCACACACUGAGACAGUGACUCUCUGCCAGAGCUGUCAGCAAGGGCCUCCCCAGUCAGCGCCUGCUGCUACGCAAAGGUAGAACUAAAUGCUUUCAGUAUUACAAAAUAUAUUGUCAGGUUUCUUGCAAAAGUGCUGUAAGAUUUUAUGCCAGCUUUGCUGGCUAUAAAUCAGUUUGCAUUCCCGUUCUGAGGAUUCCACUGCUAGUCUUAAGUUGGCAUGCAGCACCGUGCAAGUGUGGAUGAGGCUUCACAUUCACUUGGAACUGCUUGUUCUGAUCCGCAGCCAAGACUUCAAAACUGAAGGUCUCGUUUUUUCUUAGAAUCUGCCAAAGCUGAAGUAUUCUAAUAAUGUUUCUGCUUUUGUUAACUAAUUAGUGAGGAAAUUAUAAUGUAUUCCACUGAAGACUUUAAGUUUUCAGAAGAGAGCAAUGAAUCUCAUCAGCUUCAUGUGAGCACGUUUCAUGUGAAGAUAGCACAAGGCCAAUUACAAAUCCAAACGAUAAAAACAGUUUAAGCAGAACAAAACAAAGCACUUACCCAAAAGACAUCAUAAAUUAGUAACCCAGAGAGCAGCAAGCAGGAAACCUUCAGGCUCGGCAGCCGGACAAAGGCUAUCAUUGCAACACAAAGGCCCAUAGCCAGAGCUACAAAACGCAAGUACAUAAUUAGUGCAUUAAAAUAAAAACAAACCCCAAACCAAACAAGUAACAACAACAAGAAAAGAAACCAAUGCUCCUCCCCCUCCCCCCUCCAAAAAAAAACCCACUCAGAAGAAGCGUCUGUUGGCACCUGUGCAGCACUGCAUGCACUGGAUGGAUUUCUCAUAUUUCCAGAUACUGAAGUUCUUACAGGUCAAGAGAAGACAAAAUACAUUCAAGAGGAAUGCAUCCAUCUGCAAACGUGUCCCCACAGAAACAGAAAUACCACUCCACUUCCACUGCCCACCACAAACAAAUGUCCUCAUGAUCCAAGACCAUAACCCCCACAAAACACAAGCUGUCCAGUUACAAACAACAUCACCACAGUUUUCAACCGUCUGUGCCCCCAACGGGAAACAACUCCAGAAAUCAACAUGCUAACAUCACACAGUACAACCAAGAAGCACUCAAACCAAUCUUCUACUUGAACUAGACUGUGCAAGACUGCCCAAACAUCAGCUAUGAGCUCCUGCUGUUUAGAAGUACAGGGAUUUCCCAUUAACAAACAUCUGUAUGAAAGUUUGCCCAUCAAUGGGAAAACAGGGCAAGUCCUCUCCCAGGGGUGAGCUUUCAGACACACGAGCAAACUGCACUGACUGAUGCUGCAAGCUCAGAGUUGUCAGUUCUGUUCCAGGAGAAGAUUAAGAAUGUGCAACGCAAACUUAAACCUGAAACGUGACACGCAUGUCUAGAAAGGGCACGGGGGGGAAGCCUUCCUCUGCAGUUACAAAUCCAACCCCCUAUGUAUUUUGUCAGCAUAAGCUCACCAGCAUGACAACUUCAUCAGGCCACAGUUCACAAGUUAACAUUCUAAUCCUCACACUAUCAUUACAGAAUUGCAGAAAUCCAUUACAUUUGCAUUUCAUCCAGAAGAUAAGUUCUUCCAUCAAAGCACUGCAGAGACAAUUUAGUACAGAUUUGAGAGACAAAGCCAUGGAGCAGCUCCCAGCACAGCUGCACGCAAUGCCCAGACUGCCGGGCCCACCUCGUCAGCUCCAUGUAACCCUGAGCACAGCUGCCAGUUUUAAUGAAGUGAUGUGAUUACUGAGAUUAAAAAAAAAGUAUCCUAAAUCAUGCUGCAUUAUUGCAACUUAUUAUAGAACAUAAAUUACUGAUGCUUAAAGAAUUUGACACAGCAAAGCAGGGAGCAAAAGAAGUGUGUUCAGUAAUUCAGUACAGCCUUCAGUUACAGACUUCCUUUGGCAGAAGAGCAAAUACAAAGGAACAGGCUGUCUUAAAUCAAAGAGAUUUCUCCAAAGCCAAUGCUAAUAAUAGCUCAGGCUGGCCUAUGUUUAGGAGAGGAUUUCCACGUUAUAAUUAACUAGAAGUGGAAAUAUUUUAACCAAGGAGAAGUUUCAACUAUUAUUCACACGAUCCGUUUCAGCACUGUGGAAAUUCACACAGGCACCCAUGCAACACAUUUUCAUUGUACCAAGUGAACAGAGUGUUUAAAAGGGGGUGGAAAAGAAACAUUGAAAGAUGGAUGGCUACACAGAGAGACAAACAAACAGAACGUUGGACAGACGGAUGGAUGGAAGAAAGAUGGAAGGACAGAUGGGACAGAGCAUCAGAUGGACGAACAGAAAGGCAGACAACAAUGGAUGGAGCGUGAGAUAGAAAGAGACUGAUGGAGUGGUGGACAGGCAGAAAUACAGACAGGCAGUGCUGGAGGAACAGACAGGAGGACGCAUGGACAGGAUGAUGGAGCGUUGGAUGGGCGGAAAGACAGACGGUCAAAUUGAAUGUCAGAUGGACAGAGAUGGUCCAUUUGUCCUUCUGUCUGUCUGUCUAUGCACCCUUUCAUGCCUGUGUCCGUCCAUCUGUCCGUCUGUCUCUGCACGUCUCUCUAUCCACCAGUCUGUCCUUCUGCAAAUGUCCAUCAGUCCAUCCAAUUGCCUGUCAAAUCCAUCUUUCCAUCUAUGUAUCUGCCAGAGGGACUGACAGACAGGAAGAUGGAUGGACAGACUGAAGGAUGGGCACUGACAGACAGAGGGACAGAUGUAAUGGCGGUCAGUUUGUCUUUCCAUCCACCCUUCAAUCUGCCAAUCCAUUCAUCUUUCUGUCAAUCCUUCUGUCUCUCUGGCCAUCUGACUGUCUUUCUGUCCAUCGGCCCACCAGUCUGACUGUCAGAAGGACAAACUGACAGACAAGGAGACAGAAAGAUGGACCGACGCACAGACCGAAAGCUGUGCCAACAGAAGCUCAGUUGGAAGUGCUGAACUGACAGUAUUACCUGAAAGAGUCACCAUUCAGUCAACUGAAGGGACUGACUUCCACUCCCCAGCAAGCACACCUCUUACACAAUAAGGAUAUUCUGAGGAAUAUUCUGAAGAUGACAAUUAUUCCUGCAUAUGUAUUCCUGCAUAUAGACUUGCAGAGGUUUUUUGUUUGUUUUUUUAGCUCUAUUGAACUACUGCAGCCAGAACAGAUGAAAUCAGUGGAGCAAUUUCUGUUUUGCAGAUCAUUACGUAAACAAGCAGGACUUAAGCUUCACCCAUAAGCCACCAGUUGACCUUUGAAACAGACAGGUGCUGAAGCUGUGACCUAAUUAUGUACCUACAGAACUCAAAGUGUAUUUACAAAGCAGAAAUAAACACACACCAUGUAGCAGUUUCUGUUUGGCUGCUGCGUAAGCUAAGAUCCAUAGCAGUUCCCAGGGUACCCAGGACUGUUCAGUUCACUCCACUGCUGCCGAAGGAUACUGCAAAAACCUACAGAUAACAUUCCCAUUUUCCAUCUUCACACACUUCCUCUGUUUAGGAAAGCUUUUAAAAGAGAGCCUUCUCAUCCCAUCCUGGAACGUGUCCCUAGACUUAGAAACAAUCCAACCAACUACCAGGAGACGAGGGAAUUCCAUUUGAGCAAUGAAGGCUCUUCUGGUAGAAACUGCUGCACCUCGAUUUUGUAGGUAACAGAAAAGGCCACUGAGUAUUUCCCUUUUUACUUAGCUCUAAAAUACUCAUAGAGAAAGAUUCAGCUGCACGACAAGCCAGAGUUGCAGGCAAUAUAAGGCACAGUCACAUCUGCUUCAUUUCUGCUGACAGAGGACCAGAAGGAUUUAAACAAACUAAGAGGGGGCUAACCUAUAUAGCACAACUUCUGUAAUAUAAAAUACAUAAAUACUCCAAAGCUAAAUGGCAUCACCACAGUUCACUGCAUCAUAACUAACCACAAAGAAAUAAAACCCAGGAAGCACUCAGUGCCCAUAGAUCAGAGCUCUGCAGGUGGAUGCCUCAGUGCCCACUAUUUCAGAGUGCACUGCUCACAGAAAUAACUGCUCUAAGUAAAUGCUUCUGCCAACUUCUCUGUACAGACAGAUCUCUCCAGAUUGUGUCAAAAUUCACACUUGAAACUACAUUCAACUUUGUAUGUACUACAGAUCAAGGAUCACUCCUGAUUCCUUGGUGGGCCACUCUGCAUAGAACAAAACAAACAUCACCUGCAUUCUUCCAUGUGGCAUCAGUGCUUUACAAGGUAUUUCCUAGCAGGCAACAGGUGGAAGUUUCAGUAGCAGCAGAGAGCACAACUGACACACAACACCCAUAUACAAAAUACACAGUCAAGGUGUCGGUGCUCAGGACUUGUUGCUGCUAUCUCAUUUAGGAGCAACUAGAAAGCUGGGGGCACGUAUGUGUUUUAUUGAAAGAUGCCAUUUCAAGGGUAGGUAAUGCUGUUCCAGCUGUUCUUCCUCAAGCAGUCUCACCAUCUCAGGAUGCCACUUCACGAGACGUCCUGAGCCAAUUCAGUGCCUGACACCACUGGGAGGCGGAGGCUCUGCCCCUGGCUGCCCCUUCAUCCCUCUGCUGCCACAUCCACGCGAUCCUCUCAGAUCCCAUGGUGCUGUCACUUACCUUUUGCCAAAUCUACUGCAUACCUGACUGCACAAUAAUCUGAUUCAUCCCACUGCAGCACCAGAAAAAUAGCCCGGCAAAAAAAAAGAGCAUGCUACCAUUCUAGUGAGCUGAAUCAGUUCACCAUGUGACUAAAUGAACGCCGGAGCUAGCACAAGAGGUUUGGAAGGCAGAGGGGAGGAGGAAAGCUCUUCGUGGGAACAGUAAGCUGUGAAUUUGGUUCAGCCAGGAUAGAAAAAGGGGGGGGGGGGGGG
This is a long non-coding RNA of Gallus gallus (chicken), 6910 nucleotides long. RefSeq lists it as uncharacterized. The transcript has 3 exons. The record is from RefSeq and is a predicted model, not a curated record. Lineage: Eukaryota; Metazoa; Chordata; Aves; Galliformes; Phasianidae.